GAUGAGAAGGCAUGAAGGGAUUGUGCCAGCAGAAGAAAGGAGGGACCCACACUUCUGAGAUCACAGAUCCACUGAGGCCCUGAGAAGAGUUUAUUGAUACAUCUAUUCCUGAAGGAGGCCAGAUGUCUACAUCAGCAGAAGAUGCUAGACUAUGUGAAAGUGUCUACACCAGGAGCAGAGAUGAACCAAGAACACACCCAUUCUCAGGACAGCUGGUGGCAAGGCAGAGUAGGACAGUAUCUGCAGCAAGCCCAGAGCACACACAGUUUCCCUGGGUCAGGUUCGCAUUGAAGGAAACUGGAGAUCCACCAUUUCUCCUCGGAAAACUUCCCCGACGAACUGAGGGCAUCCUGCCGUCCCGUGCCUACAUGUGCCGGUCCAUGCACUGUGCCACUGGUUUUCUAACGCACAACUUCCCUUCUCCUGACUCCAGGCAUUUUUGCUGGCUGUCCACAUGCCUAGAAUUCUCUCCUUCCUCAUCUCUGCUUCUGGACUCCUUUGGUUUCCUUUGGAUCUCAACGGAAGCCCAGCCUUUUGCAAGAAAACUUUCCUCUUCCUUCUUCAUGUUAGAGAGAUCAUUCUCCAUUUCUCUGCAUUGCUAGUUUGGACCUUAUUGUUGGCGUGUUUACUCUUCCAUUAAACUGGGAGCUCCUUGAGGGCAGAGACUGACCUUUACAUUUCUCUGUAGCCCCAGGGCUUGCCUAGUCUCCCAACCUCUCCGGAGGGCAAAUUCAAGCUGUCUGUGAGGUCCG
RNAcentral lists this long non-coding RNA (752 nucleotides) under Monodelphis domestica (gray short-tailed opossum). RNAcentral's name for it is "lncRNA (ENSMODG00000044105.1)". Lineage: Eukaryota; Metazoa; Chordata; Mammalia; Didelphimorphia; Didelphidae. The record is from RNAcentral.